RNAcentral lists this ribosomal RNA (392 nucleotides) under uncultured bacterium. RNAcentral describes it as "partial 16S ribosomal RNA". It matches the Rfam family "Bacterial small subunit ribosomal RNA", at positions 523 to 918 of the family's 1533-position model. The record is from RNAcentral.
AUACGGAGGAUCCGAGCGUUAUCCGGAUUUAUUGGGUUUAAAGGGUGCGCAGGCGGCCAUUUAAGUCGGCGGUUAAAUCGUGGGGCUCAACCCCAUUCUGCCGUUGAUACUGGGUGGCUUGAUUGCGGUCGAGGUUGGCGGAAUUCGUUGUGUAGGGGGGAAAUGCAUAGAUAUGACGAAGAACACCGAUUGCGUAGGCAGCUGACCAGACCGCAAAUGACGCUCAUGCACGAAAGUGCGGGGAUCGAACAGGAUUAGAUACCCUGGUAGUCCGCACAGUAAACGAUGAAUACUUGUUUUCGGCGAUAUAAUGUCGGAGGCAAAGCGAAAGCGAUAAGUAUUCCACCUGGGGAGUACGCCGGCAACGGUGAAACUCAAAUGAAUUGACGGGG